RNAcentral lists this ribosomal RNA (288 nucleotides) under uncultured Mycobacterium sp. RNAcentral describes it as "partial 16S ribosomal RNA". It matches the Rfam family "Bacterial small subunit ribosomal RNA", at positions 223 to 523 of the family's 1533-position model. Lineage: Bacteria; Bacillati; Actinomycetota; Actinomycetes; Mycobacteriales; Mycobacteriaceae. The record is from RNAcentral.
GGAUGAGCCCGCGGCCUAUCAGCUUGUUGGUGAGGUUACGGCUCACCAAGGCGACGACGGGUAGCCGGCCUGAGAGGGUGACCGGCCACACUGGGACCGAGAUACGGCCCAGACUCCUACGGGAGGCAGCAGUGGGGAAUAUUGCACAAUGGGCGCAAGCCUGAUGCAGCGACGCCGCGUGAGGGAUGACGGCCUUCGGGUUGUAAACCUCUUUCGCCAGGGACGAAGCGCAAGUGACGGUACCUGGAGAAGAAGGACCGGCCAACUACGUGACAGCAGCCGCGGCCG